UACGGGGGGGGCAAGCGUUGUUCGGAAUUACUGGGCGUAAAGGGCUCGUAGGCGGCCAACUAAGUCAGACGUGAAAUCCCUCGGCUUAACCGGGGAACUGCGUCUGAUACUGGAUGGCUUGAAUCCGGGAGAGGGAUGCGGAAUUCCAGGUGUAGCGGUGAAAUGCGUAGAUAUUGGGAGGAACACCGGUGGCGAAGGCGGCCAUCUGGGAGGGCACUGACGCUGAGACGCGAAAGCGUGGGGAGCAAACAGG
RNAcentral lists this ribosomal RNA (253 nucleotides) under uncultured bacterium. RNAcentral describes it as "partial 16S ribosomal RNA". It matches the Rfam family "Bacterial small subunit ribosomal RNA", at positions 524 to 776 of the family's 1533-position model. The record is from RNAcentral.